This 254-nucleotide ribosomal RNA is filed under the name uncultured bacterium. RNAcentral describes it as "partial 16S ribosomal RNA". It matches the Rfam family "Bacterial small subunit ribosomal RNA", at positions 524 to 777 of the family's 1533-position model. The record is from RNAcentral.
UACGAAGGGGGCUAGCGUUGUUCGGAAUUACUGGGCGUAAAGCGCACGUAGGCGGAUUGUUAAGUUAGGGGUGAAAUCCCAGGGCUCAACUCUGGAACUGCCUUUAAUACUGGCAAUCUCGAGUCCGAGAGAGGUGAGUGGAAUUCCGAGUGUAGAGGUGAAAUUCGUAGAUAUUCGCAAGAACACCAGUGGCGAAGGCGGCUCACUGGCUCGAUACUGACGCUGAGGAGCGAAAGCGUGGGGAGCGAACAGGA